GUGGUAAGUGAGGACAGAGAUCGGGAGUGGUACGUAGGGUGCGAGGUGGAAUUGGAAUUAGGGGGCGGAAAGGCGGCGCAGGAGGCAGAGGAAGUCGAGUGUGAAAGCCCCGGGCUUAACUUGGGAAUUGCGAGCGAAACUACUUGGCUGGAGUGUGGCAGAGGAAGGUGGAAUUCCACGUGUAGCGGUGAAAUGCGUAGAGAUGUGGAGGAACACCAAUGGCGAAGGCAGCCUUCUGGGCCAACACUGACGCUCAUGCACGAAAGCGUGGGGAGCAAACAGGAUUAGAUACCCGUAGUC
This 300-nucleotide ribosomal RNA is filed under the name uncultured Pelobacter sp. Its description in RNAcentral is "bacterial SSU rRNA". The stretch from base 54 to 300 matches the Rfam family "Bacterial small subunit ribosomal RNA", at positions 547 to 795 of the family's 1533-position model. Lineage: Bacteria; Pseudomonadati; Thermodesulfobacteriota; Desulfuromonadia; Desulfuromonadales; Desulfuromonadaceae. The record is from RNAcentral.